GAGAGAGAGAGAGAGAGAGAGGGAGAGAGAGGGAGAGAGAGAGAGUGUGAGAGUGUGAGAGAGAGAGUGUGUGUGUGUGUGAGAGUGUGUGUGUGUGUGUGUGUGUGAGUGUGUGAGUGGUGAGUGUGUAUUGAGUCAAUCAGUUUCCGAAAAAGGGCGUCCUCCUCCUCCUCUUCCUCCUCCUCCUCUUCCUCCUCCUCGCGGAUUCUCUCAUGUUUGUCUCCCCGGAGGAAGGGGCGGGCUCAGCGCCACAGCAGAUCCGGAAUUAGUGGGUGUUCGUCGGCUCUGCUCGGCUCGGUCGGUCGGUCUGUGGCUCCGCGGGCGGUUCGGUUCUAGCGCGGAGAGGAAGAGGAGCUCAGAAGAAGAAGAAGAAGAAGGGAAGAAAGAAGAAGAAGAAGAAGGAGGGAGAACCCCAGGUGAAGGGACAGAGUGUCGACUCAGGGAGGGACGACUAACCCUGAGCUGAAAAGAGGAAUAAAAAAAGAAGAAGAAGAUUUAAAAGUAGAGGCAGAAGAAGAGAAAGAUGCCUCUGGCUCAGUUGGCGGAUCCCUGGCAGAAGAUGCCCCUGGGGGGGACACCUGGAGAGGAGGUGCAUCACGACCCCGAGGACUCCGCGGGCGAUGACGACUCCAUGCCUCCCUGCACCUCAGGGAAACAGAUCUGCAGGAAACCAUGAGUCAGCAACUUUAACAACUUUUAUAUUUUACAUAAAUGAAAAUAAAAGUCUG
Molecule: long non-coding RNA, 728 nt
Organism: Notolabrus celidotus (New Zealand spotty)
Lineage: Eukaryota; Metazoa; Chordata; Actinopteri; Labriformes; Labridae
Exons: 3
Source: RefSeq, a predicted model, not a curated record